Molecule: ribosomal RNA, 466 nt
Filed under: uncultured bacterium
Lineage: Bacteria
Description: bacterial SSU rRNA
Rfam family: Bacterial small subunit ribosomal RNA
Source: RNAcentral
UCCAGACUCCUACGGGAGGCAGCAGUGAGGAAUAUUGGUCAAUGGGCGGGAGCCUGAACCAGCCAAGUCGCGUGAGGGAAGACGGUCCUAUGGAUUGUAAACCUCUUUAGGCGGGGAGCAAUGCCGGGCACGCGUGUCCGGAGGGAGAGUACCCGUAGAACAAGCAUCGGCUAACUCCGUGCCAGCAGCCGCGGUAAUACGGAGGAUGCGAGCGUUAUCCGGAUUUAUUGGGUUUAAAGGGUGCGCAGGCGGCACGGCAAGCCGGCGGUCAAAUCGCGGGGCUCAACCCCGCCCAGCCGUCGGAACUGCCGGGCUAGAGUGGGCGAGAAGUGCGCGGAAUGCGUGGUGUAGCGGUGAAAUGCAUAGAUAUCACGCAGAACUCCGAUUGCGAGGGCAGCGCACCGGCGCCCUACUGACGCUCAGGCACGAAAGCGUGGGUAUCGAACAGGAUUAGAUACCCGAGUAU